RNAcentral lists this ribosomal RNA (419 nucleotides) under uncultured bacterium. Its description in RNAcentral is "bacterial SSU rRNA". It matches the Rfam family "Bacterial small subunit ribosomal RNA", at positions 28 to 438 of the family's 1533-position model. The record is from RNAcentral.
AAUCAACGCUGGCGGCGUGCCUAACACAUGCAAGUCGAGCGCGAAAGGGGGAGUAAUCCCCAAGUAGAGCGGCGAACGGGUGAGUAACGCGUGGGUGAUCUACCUCCGAGUGGGGAAUAACCCCGGGAAACUGGGGCUAAUACCGCAUGACAUCCCUGAGUCACAUUGGGGAUCAAAGCCGGGGACCGCAAGGCCUGGCGUUUGGAGAUGAGCCCGCGUCCGAUUAGCUAGUUGGCGGGGUAACGGCCCACCAAGGCUUCGAUCGGUAGCCGGCCUGAGAGGGCGGACGGCCACACUGGGACUGAGACACGGCCCAGACUCCUACGGGAGGCAGCAGUGGGGAAUUUUUCGCAAUGGGGGAACCCUGACGAAGCAACGCCGCGUGGAGGAUGAAGGCCUUCGGUCGUAACUACCUGUCG